UACGGGAGGCAGCAGUAGGGAAUUUUUCACAAUGGGCGCAAGCCUUAUGAAGCAAUGCCGCGUGAACGAUGAAGGUCUUAUAGAUUGUAAAGUUCUUUUAUAUGGGAAGAAACGCUAAGAUAGGAAAUGAUUUUAGUUUGACUGUACCAUUUGAAUAAGUAUCGGCUAACUAUGUGCCAGCAGCCGCGGUAAUACAUAGGAUGCAAGCGUUAUCCGGAUUUACUGGGCGUAAAACGAGCGCAGGCGGGUUUGUAAGUUUGGUAUUAAAUCUAGAUGCUUAACGUCUAGCUGUAUCAAAAACUGUAAACCUAGAGUGUAGUAGGGAGUUGGGGAACUCCAUGUGGAGCGGUAAAAUGCGUAGAUAUAUGGAAGAACACCGGUGGCGAAGGCGCCAACUUGGACUAUCACUGACGCUUAGGCUCGAAAGUGUGGGGAGCAAAUAGGAUUAGAUACCCUAGUAGUCCACACCGUAAACGAUCAUCAUUAAAUGUCGGCUCGAACGAGUCGGUGUUGUAGCUAACGCAUUAAAUGAUGUGCCUGG
RNAcentral lists this ribosomal RNA (541 nucleotides) under uncultured bacterium. Its description in RNAcentral is "bacterial SSU rRNA". It matches the Rfam family "Bacterial small subunit ribosomal RNA", at positions 340 to 876 of the family's 1533-position model. The record is from RNAcentral.